This 210-nucleotide ribosomal RNA is filed under the name Clostridioides difficile. RNAcentral describes it as "partial 23S ribosomal RNA". It matches the Rfam family "Bacterial large subunit ribosomal RNA", at positions 303 to 514 of the family's 2925-position model. The record is from RNAcentral. Lineage: Bacteria; Bacillati; Bacillota; Clostridia; Peptostreptococcales; Peptostreptococcaceae.
GGACAUAUCAUAAAGAGGUAUCAUAAAUGAAGAGGAGGUUUGGAAAGACCCACCACAGAAGGUAAUAGUCCUGUAUGUUAAACGAGAAGACUUUAGAUAUGAUCCAGAGUACCACGGGACACGUGAAGCCCUGUGGGAAGCAGGAGGGACCACCCUCCAAGGCUAAAUACUACCUAGUGACCGAUAGCGUAUAGUACCGUGAGGGAAAGG